GGGCCCGCACAAGCGGUGGAGCAUGUGGUUUAAUUCGAUGAUACGCGAGGAACCUUACCAGGGCUUAAAUGUAGUAUGACAGGUUUAGAGAUAGACUUUUCUUCGGACAUAUUACAAGGUGCUGCAUGGUUGUCGUCAGCUCGUGCCGUGAGGUGUCAGGUUAAGUCCUAUAACGAGCGCAACCCCUGUCGUUAGUUGCCAGCAUGUUAUGAUGGGGACUCUAACGAGACUGCCUACGCAAGUAGAGAGGAAGGUGGGGAUGACGUCAAAUCAUCACGGCCCUUACGUCCUGGCCACACACGUGCUACAAUGGUAUGGACAAUGAGCAGCCAUCUGGCAACAGAGAGCGAA
RNAcentral lists this ribosomal RNA (351 nucleotides) under uncultured bacterium. RNAcentral describes it as "bacterial SSU rRNA". It matches the Rfam family "Bacterial small subunit ribosomal RNA", at positions 917 to 1271 of the family's 1533-position model. The record is from RNAcentral.